This 467-nucleotide ribosomal RNA is filed under the name uncultured bacterium. RNAcentral describes it as "partial 16S ribosomal RNA". It matches the Rfam family "Bacterial small subunit ribosomal RNA", at positions 28 to 507 of the family's 1533-position model. The record is from RNAcentral.
GACGAACGCUGGCGGCGUGCUUAACACAUGCAAGUCGAACGAUGACGCCCGAGCUUGCUCGGUCUGAUUAGUGGCGAACGGGUGAGUAACACGUGAGCAACCUGCCCUUCACUCUGGGAUAACCUCGGGAAAUCGGGGCUAAUACCGGAUAUGAGCUCCUGUCGCAUGGUGGGUGUUGGAAAGUUUUUCGGUGGGGGAUGGGCUCGCGGCCUAUCAGUUUGUUGGUGUGGUAGUGGCUAACCAAGGCGAUGACGGGUAGCCGGCCUGAGAGGGCGACCGGCCACACUGGGACUGAGACACGGCCCAGACUCCUACGGGAGGCAGCAGUGGGGAAUAUUGCACAAUGGGCGGAAGCCUGAUGCAGCGACGCCGCGUGAGGGAUGACGGCCUUCGGGUUGUAAACCUCUUUCGGCAGAGACGAAGCGAAAGUGACGGUACCGGCAGAAGAAGCGCCGGCUAACUACGUG